RNAcentral lists this ribosomal RNA (2935 nucleotides) under Serratia marcescens. Its description in RNAcentral is "bacterial LSU rRNA". It matches the Rfam family "Bacterial large subunit ribosomal RNA". Lineage: Bacteria; Pseudomonadati; Pseudomonadota; Gammaproteobacteria; Enterobacterales; Yersiniaceae. The record is from RNAcentral.
GGGUUGUGAGGUUAAGUGACUAAGCGUACACGGUGGAUGCCUAGGCAGUCAGAGGCGAUGAAGGGCGUGCUAAUCUGCGAAAAGCGUCGGUAAGGUGAUAUGAACCGUUAUAACCGGCGAUACCCGAAUGGGGAAACCCAGUGUGUUUCGACACACUAUCAUGUCAUGAAUACAUAGUGGCAUGAGGCGAACCGGGGGAACUGAAACAUCUAAGUACCCCGAGGAAAAGAAAUCAACCGAGAUUCCCCCAGUAGCGGCGAGCGAACGGGGAGGAGCCCAGAACCUGAAUCGGCUUGUGUGUUAGUGGAAGCGUCUGGAAAGUCGCGCAGCAAAGGGUGAUAGCCCCGUACACUAAAAUGCACAGGUCGUGAGUUCGAUGAGUAGGGCGGGACACGUGACAUCCUGUCUGAAUAUGGGGGGACCAUCCUCCAAGGCUAAAUACUCCUGACUGACCGAUAGUGAACCAGUACCGUGAGGGAAAGGCGAAAAGAACCCCGGCGAGGGGAGUGAAAUAGAACCUGAAACCGUGUACGUACAAGCAGUGGGAGCACCUUCGUGGUGUGACUGCGUACCUUUUGUAUAAUGGGUCAGCGACUUAUAUUUUGUAGCAAGGUUAACCGUAUAGGGGAGCCGUAGGGAAACCGAGUCUUAACUGGGCGACUAGUUGCAAGGUAUAGACCCGAAACCCGGUGAUCUAGCCAUGGGCAGGUUGAAGGUUGGGUAACACUAACUGGAGGACCGAACCGACUAAUGUUGAAAAAUUAGCGGAUGACUUGUGGCUGGGGGUGAAAGGCCAAUCAAACCGGGAGAUAGCUGGUUCUCCCCGAAAGCUAUUUAGGUAGCGCCUCGUGAACUCAUCUUCGGGGGUAGAGCACUGUUUCGGCUAGGGGGCCAUCCCGGCUUACCAAACCGAUGCAAACUCCGAAUACCGAAGAAUGUUAUCACGGGAGACACACGGCGGGUGCUAACGUCCGUCGUGAAGAGGGAAACAACCCAGACCGCCAGCUAAGGUCCCAAAGUCAUGGUUAAGUGGGAAACGAUGUGGGAAGGCAUAGACAGCCAGGAUGUUGGCUUAGAAGCAGCCAUCAUUUAAAGAAAGCGUAAUAGCUCACUGGUCGAGUCGGCCUGCGCGGAAGAUGUAACGGGGCUAAACCAUGCACCGAAGCUGCGGCAGCGACGCUUAGGCGUUGUUGGGUAGGGGAGCGUUCUGUAAGCCGUUGAAGGUGGCCUGUGAGGGUUGCUGGAGGUAUCAGAAGUGCGAAUGCUGACAUAAGUAACGAUAAAGCGGGUGAAAAGCCCGCUCGCCGGAAGACCAAGGGUUCCUGUCCAACGUUAAUCGGGGCAGGGUGAGUCGACCCCUAAGGCGAGGCUGAAAAGCGUAGUCGAUGGGAAACAGGUUAAUAUUCCUGUACUUGGUGUUACUGCGAAGGGGGGACGGAGAAGGCUAGGCUGGCCGGGCGACGGUUGUCCCGGUUUAAGCGUGUAGGGGGUGUGACCUGGUAAAUCCGGUUGCAUAUCAACCCUGAGGCGUGAUGACGAUGCACUACGGUGCAGAAGUAGUUGAUGCCCUGCUUCCAGGAAAAUCCUCUAAGCUCCAGGUAACAUUAAAUCGUACCCCAAACCGACACAGGUGGUCAGGUAGAGAAUACCAAGGCGCUUGAGAGAACUCGGGUGAAGGAACUAGGCAAAAUGGUGCCGUAACUUCGGGAGAAGGCACGCUGGCAUGUAGGUGAAGUCCCUUGCGGAUGGAGCUGAAGCCAGUCGAAGAUACCAGCUGGCUGCAACUGUUUAAUAAAAACACAGCACUGUGCAAACACGAAAGUGGACGUAUACGGUGUGACGCCUGCCCGGUGCUGGAAGGUUAAUUGAUGGGGUCAGCCGCAAGGCGAAGCUCUUGAUCGAAGCCCCAGUAAACGGCGGCCGUAACUAUAACGGUCCUAAGGUAGCGAAAUUCCUUGUCGGGUAAGUUCCGACCUGCACGAAUGGCGUAAUGAUGGCCAGGCUGUCUCCACCCGAGACUCAGUGAAAUUGAACUCGCUGUGAAGAUGCAGUGUACCCGCGGCAAGACGGAAAGACCCCGUGAACCUUUACUAUAGCUUGACACUGAACAUUGAGCCUUGAUGUGUAGGAUAGGUGGGAGGCUUUGAAGCGUGGACGCCAGUCUGCGUGGAGCCAUCCUUGAAAUACCACCCUUUAAUGUUUGAUGUUCUAACUCGGCCCCAUAAUCUGGGGUGAGGACAGUGUCUGGUGGGUAGUUUGACUGGGGCGGUCUCCUCCCAAAGAGUAACGGAGGAGCACGAAGGUUAGCUAAUCACGGUCGGACAUCGUGAGGUUAGUGCAAAGGCAUAAGCUAGCUUGACUGCGAGAGUGACGGCUCGAGCAGGUACGAAAGUAGGUCUUAGUGAUCCGGUGGUUCUGAAUGGAAGGGCCAUCGCUCAACGGAUAAAAGGUACUCCGGGGAUAACAGGCUGAUACCGCCCAAGAGUUCAUAUCGACGGCGGUGUUUGGCACCUCGAUGUCGGCUCAUCACAUCCUGGGGCUGAAGUAGGUCCCAAGGGUAUGGCUGUUCGCCAUUUAAAGUGGUACGCGAGCUGGGUUUAGAACGUCGUGAGACAGUUCGGUCCCUAUCUGCCGUGGGCGUUGGAAGAUUGAGAGGGGUUGCUCCUAGUACGAGAGGACCGGAGUGAACGCACCACUGGUGUUCGGGUUGUCAUGCCAAUGGCAUUGCCCGGUAGCUAAGUGCGGAAAAGAUAAGCGCUGAAAGCAUCUAAGCGCGAAACUUGCCUCAAGAUGAGUCUUCCCUGGGCCUUUAAGGCCCCUGAAGGAACGUUUAAGACUAAGACGUUGAUAGGCUGGGUGUGUAAGUGCAGCGAUGCAUUGAGCUAACCAGUACUAAUGAUCCGUGAGGCUUAACCUUACAACACCGAAGGUGUUU